UACGGAGGGGGCUAGCGUUGUUCGGAAUUACUGGGCGUAAAGCGCACGUAGGCGGCUUUGUAAGUUAGAGGUGAAAAGCCCGGGGGCUCAACUCCGGAAUUGCCUUUAAGACUGCAUCGCUAGAAUUGUGGAGAGGUAAGUGGAAUUCCGAGUGUAGAGGUGAAAUUCGUAGAUAUUCGGAAGAACACCAGUGGCGAAGGCGACUUACUGGACACAUAUUGACGCUGAGGUGCGAAAGCGUGGGGAGCAAACAGGG
RNAcentral lists this ribosomal RNA (256 nucleotides) under uncultured bacterium. RNAcentral's name for it is "partial 16S ribosomal RNA". It matches the Rfam family "Bacterial small subunit ribosomal RNA", at positions 524 to 777 of the family's 1533-position model. The record is from RNAcentral.